This is a non-coding RNA of Cucurbita pepo subsp. pepo (vegetable marrow), 322 nucleotides long. Lineage: Eukaryota; Viridiplantae; Streptophyta; Magnoliopsida; Cucurbitales; Cucurbitaceae. The record is from RefSeq and is a predicted model, not a curated record.
CCACAGGCCCGUAUCUCUGACUGGUGUCUGAAAAACCAAACCAGAGACAGACACACAACAUUAAGUGUUUGCGCAAGCUAAAGAAGAAUCUAAACGAAGAGUUUCAUCUCCUGCACCUGUUACUAUUGUCUGCAAGAGGCCAUUUAUGAGACUCUAAAAGUGGACAUCGAUAUGAAACAAGUAGCAUUAAAAGCAUAUUCAAAUACCUGACCGUCGGGAGACAUUGCAAGGGCUCAAGGAAAAACCUGGCUUCCAGUGUCGACACACUCCAACUGGUGUCCAUUUGCAGUGUUCCAGAAACGAAUGCAUCGAUCAGCAGUUC